Molecule: ribosomal RNA, 402 nt
Filed under: uncultured bacterium
Lineage: Bacteria
Description: bacterial SSU rRNA
Rfam family: Bacterial small subunit ribosomal RNA
Source: RNAcentral
UGGGGAAUAUUGGACAAUGGGGGAAACCCUGAUCCAGCAAUGCCGCGUGAGUGAAGAAGGCCUUAGGGUUGUAAAGCUCUUUCGCCCGCGAAGAUAAUGACGGUAGCGGGAGAAGAAGCCCCGGCUAACUCCGUGCCAGCAGCCGCGGUAAUACGGAGGGGGCUAGCGUUGUUCGGAAUUACUGGGCGUAAAGCGUACGUAGGCGGAUGCGCAAGUUGGGGGUGAAAUCCCGGGGCUUAACCUCGGAAUUGCCCUCAAAACUGCACGUCUUGAGACCGAGAGAANUAAGGGGAAUUCCUAGUGUAGAGGUGAAAUUCGUAGAUAUUAGGAAGAACACCAGUGGCGAAGGCGCCUUACUGGCUCGGUACUGACGCUGAGGUACGAAAGCGUGGGGAGCGAACA